UCCAGACUCCUACGGGAGGCAGCAGUGAGGAAUAUUGCACAAUGGGGGAAACCCUGAUGCAGCGACGCCGCGUGAGCGAUGAAGUAUUUCGGUAUGUAAAGCUCUAUCAGCAGGGAAGAAAAUGACGGUACCUGACUAAGAAGCCCCGGCUAACUACGUGCCAGCAGCCGCGGUAAUACGUAGGGGGCAAGCGUUAUCCGGAUUUACUGGGUGUAAAGGGAGCGUAGACGGCGAUGCAAGCCAGAUGUGAAAGCCCGGGGCUCAACCCCGGGACUGCAUUUGGAACUGUAUAGCUAGAGUGUCGGAGAGGCAGGCGGAAUUCCUAGUGUAGCGGUGAAAUGCGUAGAUAUUAGGAGGAACACCUGUGGCGAAGGCGGCCUGCUGGACGAUAACUGACGUUGAGGCACGAAAGUGUGGGGAGCAAACAGGAUUAGAUACCCUGGUAUAA
RNAcentral lists this ribosomal RNA (448 nucleotides) under uncultured bacterium. Its description in RNAcentral is "bacterial SSU rRNA". It matches the Rfam family "Bacterial small subunit ribosomal RNA", at positions 330 to 793 of the family's 1533-position model. The record is from RNAcentral.